UCUCCUAUAGCUCAGUUGGUAGAGCGUGCGGCUGUUAACCUCAAAGUCGCUGGUUCAAACCCAGCUGGGAGAG
Transfer RNA from Phytophthora infestans T30-4, 73 nucleotides. It matches the Rfam family "tRNA". Rfam says of the family: Transfer RNA (tRNA) molecules are approximately 80 nucleotides in length. Their secondary structure includes four short double-helical elements and three loops (D, anti-codon, and T loops). Further hydrogen bonds mediate the characteristic L-shaped molecular structure. tRNAs have two regions of fundamental functional importance: the anti-codon, which is responsible for specific mRNA codon recognition, and the 3' end, to which the tRNAs corresponding amino acid is attached (by aminoacyl-tRNA synthetases). tRNAs cope with the degeneracy of the genetic code in two manners: having more than one tRNA (with a specific anti-codon) for a particular amino acid; and 'wobble' base-pairing, i.e. permitting non-standard base-pairing at the 3rd anti-codon position. The record is from Rfam. NCBI's taxonomy places the organism in Eukaryota, Oomycota, Peronosporomycetes, Peronosporales, Peronosporaceae.